Molecule: ribosomal RNA, 1526 nt
Filed under: bacterium A37T11
Lineage: Bacteria
Description: bacterial SSU rRNA
Rfam family: Bacterial small subunit ribosomal RNA
Source: RNAcentral
UUACAAUGGAGAGUUUGAUCCUGGCUCAGGAUGAACGCUAGCGGCAGGCCUAAUACAUGCAAGUCGGACGGGAUUGGAGAGCUUGCUUUCCAUGAGAGUGGCGCACGGGUGCGUAACGCGUGAGCAACCUACCCUUGUCAGGGGGAUAGCCCGGAGAAAUCCGGAUUAAGACCGCAUAACAUUGUGAUAUGGCAUCAUAUUAUAAUCAAAUAUUUAUAGGACAAGGAUGGGCUCGCGUGACAUUAGCUAGUUGGUAAGGUAACGGCUUACCAAGGCAAUGAUGUCUAGGGGCUCUGAGAGGAGAAUCCCCCACACUGGUACUGAGACACGGACCAGACUCCUACGGGAGGCAGCAGUAAGGAAUAUUGGUCAAUGGGCGGAAGCCUGAACCAGCCAUGCCGCGUGCAGGAAGACUGCCCUAUGGGUUGUAAACUGCUUUUGCCAGGGAAUAAAUGUACCGAUGUAUCGGUAUUUGAAUGUACUUGGAGAAUAAGGAUCGGCUAACUCCGUGCCAGCAGCCGCGGUAAUACGGAGGAUCCAAGCGUUAUCCGGAAUUAUUGGGUUUAAAGGGUGCGUAGGCGGCAUGCUAAGUCAGGGGUGAAAGACGGUGGCUCAACCAUCGCAGUGCCUUUGAUACUGGUGUGCUUGAAUGUACAUGAGGUAGGCGGAAUGAGACAAGUAGCGGUGAAAUGCAUAGAUAUGUCUCAGAACACCAAUUGCGAAGGCAGCUUACUAAGGUAUGAUUGACGCUGAUGCACGAAAGCGUGGGGAUCAAACAGGAUUAGAUACCCUGGUAGUCCACGCCCUAAACGAUGAUAACUCGAUGUUAGCGAUAUACAGUUAGCGUCCAAGCGAAAGCGUUAAGUUAUCCACCUGGGGAGUACGCCCGCAAGGGUGAAACUCAAAGGAAUUGACGGGGGCCCGCACAAGCGGAGGAGCAUGUGGUUUAAUUCGAUGAUACGCGAGGAACCUUACCCGGGCUUGAAAGUUACUGAAUGACUCAGAGAUGAGUCAGUCCUUCGGGACAGGAAACUAGGUGCUGCAUGGCUGUCGUCAGCUCGUGCCGUGAGGUGUUGGGUUAAGUCCCGCAACGAGCGCAACCCCUAUGUUUAGUUGCCAGCAUGUAAAGGUGGGGACUCUAAACAGACUGCCUGUGCAAACAGAGAGGAAGGUGGGGACGAUGUCAAGUCAUCAUGGCCCUUACGUCCGGGGCUACACACGUGCUACAAUGGGCAGUACAGCGGGCAGCUACCUGGUAACAGGAUGCUAAUCUCGUAAAGCUGUUCACAGUUCGGAUUGGGGUCUGCAACUCGACCCCAUGAAGUUGGAUUCGCUAGUAAUCGCGUAUCAGCAAUGACGCGGUGAAUACGUUCCCGGGCCUUGUACACACCGCCCGUCAAGCCAUGAAAGCUGGGGGUACCUAAAGCAUGUAACCGCAAGGAGCGUGUUAGGGUAAAACCGGUAAUUGGGGCUAAGUCGUAACAAGGUAGCCGUACCGGAAGGUGCGGCUGGAAUACCUCCUUUCU